GAUGAACGCUGGCGGCGUGCCUAAUACACGCAAGUCGAGCGAACGGACGAGAAGCUUGCUUCUCUGAUGUUAGCGGCGGACGGGUGAGUAACACGUGGAUAACCUACCUAUAAGACUAGGAUAACUUCGGGAAACCGGAGCUAAUACCGGAUGAUAUUUUGAACCGCAUGGUUCAAAAGUGAAAGACGGUCUUGCUGUCACUUAUAGAUGGAUCCGCGCUGCAUUAGCUAGUUGGUAAGGUAACGGCUUACCAAGGCAACGAUGCAUAGCCGACCUGAGAGGGUGAUCGGCCACACUGGAACUGAGACACGGUCCAGACUCCUACGGGAGGCAGCAGUAGGGAAUCUUCCGCAAUGGGCGAAAGCCUGACGGAGCAACGCCGCGUGAGUGAUGAAGGUCUUCGGAUCGUAAAACUCUGUUAUUAGGGAAGAACAUAUGUGUAAGUAACUGUGCACAUCUUGACGGUACCUAAUCAGAAAGCCACGGCUAACUACGUG
Molecule: ribosomal RNA, 497 nt
Filed under: uncultured bacterium
Lineage: Bacteria
Description: partial 16S ribosomal RNA
Rfam family: Bacterial small subunit ribosomal RNA
Source: RNAcentral